GACAGAGGGUGCUAGCGUUGUUCGGAAUUACUGGGCGUAAAGCGCGCGUAGGCGGCUUUGCAAGUCGGGUGUGAAAUCCCCAGGCUUAACCUGGGAACUGCAUUCGAGACUGCAUUGCUAGAGUAUGGGAGAGGGAAGUGGAAUUUCCGGUGUAGCGGUGAAAUGCGUAGAUAUCGGAAGGAACAUCAGUGGCGAAAGCGACUUCCUGGACCAAUACUGACGCUCAUGUGCGAAAGCGUGGGGAGCAAACAGG
RNAcentral lists this ribosomal RNA (253 nucleotides) under uncultured bacterium. RNAcentral describes it as "partial 16S ribosomal RNA". It matches the Rfam family "Bacterial small subunit ribosomal RNA", at positions 524 to 776 of the family's 1533-position model. The record is from RNAcentral.